UGACCUCGGAUCAGGUAGGGAUACCCGCUGAAC
RNAcentral lists this ribosomal RNA (33 nucleotides) under salal root associated fungus UBCtra264. RNAcentral's name for it is "partial 28S ribosomal RNA". RNAcentral also lists the same sequence under 16 other names. Lineage: Eukaryota; Fungi; Ascomycota. The record is from RNAcentral.